CUCAGCAUUUUUGUAAUGCAGAUGAGCGUCUUCCUUGAACUGCACAGUACUUGGAAAGCUCUGAGAAACGUUCAUCUCCUGAGGGCAGGAAAUUCCCAAAGCCCCCCUGUUAGCGGCCUACGAUCAAAUCCUGGCAGGCUCUUUGGCCCUCUGUCCCGCUUUCUCUCGCUCACCUGACAUCUACCCAUGCUUCCUAUUGGUGCUGCAGCAGCUGAAAGACAUCUGAAAUAUAUGAGAAAUUAACUGGUAAGGCAUCAGCGGCUGCCAGAACUCCAGGGGAAAAGAAAUCCAUGAGCUAAUGGAGUUAGCAGCAAUGCAAACCUGGACACGACUACAAAUUGCUUCAGCACAUGUGAUCCUGAAAACAGAGGGUCAAAGGAGCUGUGUCCCGUUUCCUGCAGCACUUGCUUGGCUCAGCACUGAGUGUGUGCUGAGAUCCGGUGCUGCACACUGGGCACAGGGAGAGCUCUUUUUUGGUUGACUCUUCUGGACUGUCUUCCCGAGGCAGAAGCUGGAAACCACCACGACCUCAGGGUUUCAGCACACAGAGAUGCUGUAAAUCCCAGUGAAUGAGGCCCAGCGUGGAGCGGUUAUUUUCAAGGGCACUGCUACCAAUCUAUCCAGAGAGAGAGCUGGUCUCUGGGCAUCACUAAGAGGACUUGGAUAACACAGCAGGAGCAGGACAGAGAUGUACAGGAGUCAUUUAAAAAUAGAAAAAUAUAAUUUAAAAACAAACUCUUCUGGAUGUAACUUGAAAAAUAAGCAAGUAGAAAAUAUGAAACGAAUGCAAAGGGCUCCAGGUUUCUCGUUCUUCAAAAGUGGUGAUGGUUCAGGUGGGUGAUGAGCAGCUACAGAAGUAAACUAUUAAAUCAAAGAAAAAAAGAGUAUGUAUGUACAUAUGUAUGCACUUUGAAAGACGCUGAAUUAUAAAUGCUUCUGAAUCAUAAAAAUACAGAGCUUGUCAGUGGUUUCUGUCGAAGAUUGAACAUCUGAUUUCAUUUGUUCACAGCACAGCCUGUAUGAGUUAUCACAUCAAAAUCAGACAGAAGGGAGAAAGACACCACGAUAUCCUGUAGGCUUAAAAAAUAUAAAAUAAAAACGAAC
This 1104-nucleotide long non-coding RNA is filed under the name Gallus gallus (chicken). RNAcentral describes it as "lncRNA (ENSGALG00010024388.1)". Lineage: Eukaryota; Metazoa; Chordata; Aves; Galliformes; Phasianidae. The record is from RNAcentral.